This 327-nucleotide long non-coding RNA is filed under the name Rhinopithecus roxellana (golden snub-nosed monkey). RNAcentral's name for it is "lncRNA (ENSRROG00000045922.1)". The record is from RNAcentral. Lineage: Eukaryota; Metazoa; Chordata; Mammalia; Primates; Cercopithecidae.
ACAUCAAAUGACCAUUUUAACAACAAUAUCUAAAUUGUUACUUCCUUUUUUUUUUUUAAGAUGAAGUGGUGCAUUUUAAGGAUUUUAUCAGAGAAUUGGCCGACACUGAUGAAUUUACUGAAUGCCAAAAAAUAGAAGAUGCAUGGAACAUUAUUAGUAGUGUCUGUGAUGGGAAAGUUGAAAUUGAAGACCUUUUAUCCACUUUGAAGAGCCUGGAGAAACCUUUAGAUGAAGAACAAUUUAAGGUCUUAUCAAACAGUGCAGCAGAUGAAAGAAAAGUGAUCUUAAAAGAUGUAAUUGAUGUUUUCACUAAUUCACCUAAACCAU